This is a long non-coding RNA of Cyprinodon tularosa, 604 nucleotides long. RefSeq lists it as uncharacterized. The record is from RefSeq and is a predicted model, not a curated record. NCBI's taxonomy places the organism in Eukaryota, Metazoa, Chordata, Actinopteri, Cyprinodontiformes, Cyprinodontidae. The transcript is spliced from 3 exons.
UUUAAAGGCGUUAAUUCCUAGUAUGAAGUUUCCCACUGAACUCCUCUGGGACCAGCAGCUUCCGAGCAGAAUCACCCUGAGCUCAGACACUGGAACAAAAAGAUAAAAGAAAGUGGACACAGCAUCUUGUGGGAAGUGCACUGGCUGGAUCCUACUUCGUUCUCAGGGGAUGGACUGAACUUGUAAACCAGAGUUUCCUGUCUCAGACACCCUAGCCGCUGCUACUGCAGAUCUGCAGUCCGUCAGCCUGCUGUCUUAAUGAAUGCUUUUUGAAUAAUCCAACUGUCUGUAUUAACUAAAUACUACAUUGGUGUUCUGAGAAAAUAUGCAGUAUUCUUGCCAAAGAUUCAAACUGUUUUGUCCAAUGUUAAAAAAAAACCUGAAAAAUUUUAGUUUACACAUAAAAUAAACUGUUUGAUUGGCUGUGAGGUGCAAUUGACUGACGUGUCAUCUACUUGAUGUCAGCACAACAAACGGCUGCAAAACACUCCAAAUUUCAACAGUGGGAGACAGGAAAGAAUGAAAAGGAACCAAAUGAUCAGCAAAACGGACAGCGAAAAAUCCUGUUUUGAUAUUGUCCUGGUGUUUUGACAAACUUUUGUUG